GCGGCCGUGCGCGGGGCGCCGCGGCGGGCCGAGCUAUGUGCCCCUCGCGUAGGCGCCCAUCAUGUACACAGUCGUGGGUUCGGAGCGUCCCCGCGGGCGCUUAAAGCGACUGUGGGCAUGCGGUGAGAGGUGCAAUGGAGGCGCGCUCCGAUGGCGUCUCCAAGCCGAGGUCAUUGGCACUCGAGAAGAUGGAGACUCUGGUCAGACGAAUGCAGAGCGCUGAUGCCGGCGUGCCGGUGAGAUGUCAGAAGCUCUUUUUGACCACCAUCCCAUCGGCCUUCAUGGGGUACGACCUCAUCGAAUGGCUGAUGGAGAAUCUUCCCAUAGACGACUCUGGUAAGUA
This is a long non-coding RNA of Amphibalanus amphitrite, 343 nucleotides long. RefSeq lists it as uncharacterized. The record is from RefSeq and is a predicted model, not a curated record. The transcript has 3 exons. NCBI's taxonomy places the organism in Eukaryota, Metazoa, Arthropoda, Thecostraca, Balanomorpha, Balanidae.